CAGUCAGUCAAGGCCUUACUGUCUGAAGAUAUGCUCGGUACAUAGAAGGAAUCUUUCCAAAUAGUCACCAUCAUCCUUGAUAUUAAUGUAUAUCUGUAACAAAUGCUUUAAGAAGAUGUAUGCUUUUCAUAGUUGGUCUUGCCUGAAGUUAUUAAGUAAUCCAUCAAUUUCUGAAAUCCUGGCAAAGGGAAAUCAUGCUCACAAAGUGUUUCACUAAUACAGAAGAUCUGGAGCAGGCUGUUUCACUGGAUGGUAGCAGGUCUGUGUUUACUGGUGUACACUUGUUUUCGAAUAAAUAGUACCUUCACAAGAAAACCCUUCUUGAUGAGCUAGCUGUGCUCUCCAGGUAGUUUUUCUUACGCUCCUUUUGCUUCCUUAUUAUCUCAUGAAUACUGUUCUCAGUAGCUGCUAUUAAAUACAACUAAUCUGCCUAGUUUUGCUAUCAGGUUUCUCAGACCCACCUUCAUGACUCAGCAGCUGUCCUGAAGCACUCAAGUCCUUGUCUCCAUCCAUUGCCUUGUUGCACUAACAAGAAACAGCUUCAGGUCUGGUAAGUUCAAGAACAGUUGCCUAAGCAGCCAGUCCCGACGUUGUUUUCCUACAUAAUCCUCUGACUGCAGGAAAACUAGAAUCAAAGUGAAAGGUAAUGACAUUGUGAUAGUAUAAAGAUAGCAAGAAAAAAAAACCAAACAUAAGUAACAAAAUAAGAGCAGAUGCUUUCAAGUUUCCCACUCCUGAAUCCCCAACUGUAUGGCAUUCUCCCUUUCCUCUCCAUGGUUGUCCGUUUGCUCUCCAAGCUCUCUGUUCUUACUGCUGCUGCAACAUUGGCAAGUGCAAUCCAAUUCCUGGAUCUGUGUGUGAAGAGAGACUCUUUGAAGCUGGAGGCAGUGUCAUAUAGCGAUGCACCAUCCUCGAAGAAGAAUAGCUAUUGUAGUAUGGUACUCCACAUAGAUGAAUUGCUUGUUUUAGAAGAAGGAUAGCGAAGCCUGGGCAGUGCUUCAUGGCAAUGCUUUCAGCUCUGAUUAUAUAGUGCAUAGAAGAGUGCUGUGUGAAAUACGAGCAGCAUUCAGCGCUGUACUAGCUCUAACUCUGUUCAUCAAAUAAGUCAUCCUGUGAGUAGUACAAUGUGUAAAGCCUGAUUUUACACAAAGUUAUGUC
RNAcentral lists this long non-coding RNA (1158 nucleotides) under Strigops habroptila (Kakapo). RNAcentral's name for it is "lncRNA (ENSSHBG00005002820.1)". Lineage: Eukaryota; Metazoa; Chordata; Aves; Psittaciformes; Psittacidae. The record is from RNAcentral.